UGUGAUGUAGCUCAGUGGUAGAGCACCUAACUGGCAUGCAUGAGGCCCUGGGUUCAAUCUUCAGCAUUACAC
Molecule: transfer RNA, 72 nt
Filed under: Ictidomys tridecemlineatus (thirteen-lined ground squirrel)
Lineage: Eukaryota; Metazoa; Chordata; Mammalia; Rodentia; Sciuridae
Description: Spermophilus tridecemlineatus (thirteen-lined ground squirrel) tRNA
Rfam family: tRNA
About the family: Transfer RNA (tRNA) molecules are approximately 80 nucleotides in length.
Source: Rfam by way of RNAcentral